Molecule: ribosomal RNA, 1063 nt
Filed under: Monothalamids sp.
Lineage: Eukaryota; Foraminifera
Description: SSU rRNA
Rfam family: Eukaryotic small subunit ribosomal RNA
Source: RNAcentral
AAGGGCACCACAAGAACGCGUGGAGCAUGUGGCUUAAUUUGACUCAACGCGGGAAAUCUUACCGGGUCCGGACACACUGAGGAUUGACAGGCAAUCAUGUGAAUCGCUGCUCUGAGCUUUCGAGUGAAGAGCUGGCAUUCGCAUAUAAAUAUGCUAGUCCUUUCAUGAUUAUGUGAUAGGUGGUGCAUGGCCGUUCUUAGUUCGUGGAGUGAUCUGUCUGCUUAAUUGCGUUUCGCACUGGACUUGAUAAUCAAGUGCUAUUUUUCUUGUGUCGGUUGUGCAGCUACUGCGUUUUGACGUACGGUGUUUACCCCAGCGGUCUUUGGUUUUCGGACUGGAUUUGCUGCGCGUGUGUUCAUUGUGCUAGUAGUUUAAUUGCGUGGCUGGCACUCUAUGAAAAAUUUUUUGCACAUUGGGUCCUGAAAGCAACGAACGUGCCCGCAUCCUCUUGUUGCCUUCUACCUAAACUACGCAUUCUUUUCUUCUUUUUGUACCUUCGGGUGCAGAAAGUGAAAGAUUUGUGUGCUUUAACAAAGGGGGCUUCAUUUUCUCCGAAAAUAAAACUAGAGGGACCGCUGCGACUUUUUUAAACCAGAGGAAGGUUGCGGCAAUAACAGGUCUGUGAUGCCCUUAGAUGUUCCGGGCUGCACACGUGCUACAAUGAUUAUUGCAGUGAGCAUCUAUUUCCAAACGCCGCUAAUCUGCGGUCAGCUGCAGUGCGCAAGCACUCAGCAGAUCAGUAGAUUCGGCUCAGCCUGCCUCGAAAGUUGCCAGGUAAUCAAUUGGAAGUAAUGAUUUCCCUUAAUUCAAAAUUUAUUUUUUGAUUUUGCGAGCACACAAUAUGCUGCUCCUUUCAAGGUAGAUACCAAUCUAUUGUGUAUCUCACCAUUGACGAUUGGAGUAUCUUUUUAAAAGAUUUCAAGCAUGUGCUUUUUGUCAAUUCAUGGUGGGGACAGACCAUUGUUAAUUAUUGGUCUCGGUCUCAACUAGGAAUGCCUUGUACGGGUCUUUGGUUCAACAACCACCCGGAAUACGUCCCUGCCCUUUGUACACACCGCCCGUC